This 149-nucleotide ribosomal RNA is filed under the name uncultured bacterium. Its description in RNAcentral is "partial 16S ribosomal RNA". It matches the Rfam family "Bacterial small subunit ribosomal RNA", at positions 1346 to 1500 of the family's 1533-position model. The record is from RNAcentral.
GCAUCAGCCAUGGCGCGGUGAAUACGUUCCCCGGGCCCUUGUACACACCGCCCGUCAAGCCAUGGAAGCCGGGGGCGCUUGAAGUGCGUUGCCGCAAGGCGCGCCCUAGAGCGAAACCGGUGACUGGGGCUAAGUCGUAACAAGGUAAC